AUGCCAUCCUCUAAUUAUCAGAGACUAAAAGGGCCAAGGACUGCACUCCAGCCACACACUCAAUAUUCUCACAGGCAUCACACCCACUUGCCAUUUCCUAGCAAUGACAGAAAAUCAAGAGGAAAAUCAGAAACGAUAUGGAAUGUCGGAACAGGAUUCUGCCUGAAAGCAGGUGAUCUUGAGUUUUCUGUGACAAGUUUGCUGGGUUUUACACUCGGGCUUUUUUUCCUCUCUCUCGCUCUUCUUCUUUUUUUUUUUUCUUUUUUUUUCAAUAUCUAAAGUGGUCAGAAUAACAAAGGGGGUGUUAUGUACCUAGUGGAGACACGGCCAUGAUGUUCUUAGAGCUGAAAUGCGCUCAUUUGUCCAAAGCCUAUAAACAACUUUGGCCUUAAUUCACAAGCUUCAGUAGGAUUUAAGAAGGACUUACAGUGGCCAUCUAUAAAGGGAUGCAUUUCCCCCACCUAAGUGUAUUUUACUCACUGCAGCUGUAACUAAUAAUUCCCUAAACAAUAGAUUAAAAUCAUGCAAUUAGUAUAAAAAUAAGUAAAGCAAAGACUCAUUCCACCUAGGAGGACAUAAGCAUGUUUGCUAUCUACGACAUAGUGGAAAAGAGAGGAAUUUUUGUGUGUGUGUGUGUGCGUGCAUAUGCUAGCAGAGAAACUCUAAGUAAAGGGUCGCUACUUUGGCUAAGGAGGACAAGGCCUGUGUUAGGGAUUUGAAGGCCUUGAUUUAUAUCAUGAUUAUAAUUCAUUUGGGAUAAGCACUGUCUUAUUUUAGGUUUUCCAGUGCUCACUGGAAACAAUUUUAGUGGUACGAAUAAGUCUGUCACACAAUAAUAAUGCCCAGUAUCCAAAAGUGGAUACAAAAUUAGAUGGCUGUAUCUACAUUGGAAAGUUAAGCAGCCCAAUGGGAGCAGAUCUGUGAAGCAAAAACAGUUGGUACCAAGGACCCAAUGUCCCUAUUAAAUAAAUAGUGUCCCUAUUAAAUAAAGAGCUGGGGU
RNAcentral lists this long non-coding RNA (1000 nucleotides) under Struthio camelus australis. Its description in RNAcentral is "lncRNA (ENSSCUG00000009340.1)". The record is from RNAcentral. Lineage: Eukaryota; Metazoa; Chordata; Aves; Struthioniformes; Struthionidae.